RNAcentral lists this ribosomal RNA (211 nucleotides) under uncultured bacterium. RNAcentral describes it as "partial 16S ribosomal RNA". It matches the Rfam family "Bacterial small subunit ribosomal RNA", at positions 524 to 734 of the family's 1533-position model. The record is from RNAcentral.
UACAGGGGGUGCAAACGUUGCUCGGAAUCAUUGGGCGUAAAGCGCACGUAGGCGGUUCGUUAUGUCGGAUGUGAAAGCCCUUGGCUUAACCGAGGAAGUGCAUCCGAAACUGGCGAGCUAGAGUACGAAAGAGGAUCGCGGAAUUCCCGGUGUAGAGGUGAAAUUCGUAGAUAUCGGGAGGAACACCGGUGGCGAAGGCGGCGAACCUGGU